CAGUAGCCGCGGUAAUGCGUAGGGUGCGAGCGUUGUCCGGAAUUACUGGGCGUAAAGAGCUCGUAGGCGGUUUGUCACGUCGUCUGUGAAAUCCUAGGGCUUAACCCUGGACGUGCAGGCGAUACGGGCUGACUUGAGUACUACAGGGGAGACUGGAAUUUCUGGUGUAGCGGUGAAAUGCGUUGAGAUCGGAAAGAACACCAACGGCGAAAGCACUCUGCUGGGCCGACACUGACACUGAGAGACGAAAGCUAGGGGAGCAAAUGGGAUUAGAGACCCCUGUAGUCCCUGUCUCUUAUCC
This 301-nucleotide ribosomal RNA is filed under the name uncultured bacterium. RNAcentral's name for it is "partial 16S ribosomal RNA". It matches the Rfam family "Bacterial small subunit ribosomal RNA", at positions 509 to 808 of the family's 1533-position model. The record is from RNAcentral.